GACGAACGCUGGCGGCGUGCCUAAUACAUGCAAGUCGAACGCUGAAGGAGGAGCUUGCUUCUCUGGAUGAGUUGCGAACGGGUGAGUAACGCGUAGGUAACCUGCCUGGUAGCGGGGGAUAACUAUUGGAAACGAUAGCUAAUACCGCAUAAUAGUAGAUGUCGCAUGACAUUUGCUUAAAAGGUGCAAUUGCAUCACUACCAGAUGGACCUGCGUUGUAUUAGCUAGUUGGUGAGGUAACGGCUCACCAAGGCAACGAUACAUAGCCGACCUGAGAGGGUGAUCGGCCACACUGGGACUGAGACACGGCCCAGACUCCUACGGGAGGCAGCAGUAGGGAAUCUUCGGCAAUGGACGGAAGUCUGACCGAGCAACGCCGCGUGAGUGAAGAAGGUUUUCGGAUCGUAAAGCUCUGUUGUAAGAGAAGAACGAGUGUGAGAGUGGAAAGUUCACACUGUGACGGUAGCUUACCAGAAAGGGACGGCUAACUACGUG
RNAcentral lists this ribosomal RNA (495 nucleotides) under uncultured bacterium. Its description in RNAcentral is "partial 16S ribosomal RNA". It matches the Rfam family "Bacterial small subunit ribosomal RNA", at positions 28 to 507 of the family's 1533-position model. The record is from RNAcentral.